This 303-nucleotide ribosomal RNA is filed under the name uncultured bacterium. RNAcentral describes it as "partial 16S ribosomal RNA". It matches the Rfam family "Bacterial small subunit ribosomal RNA", at positions 507 to 807 of the family's 1533-position model. The record is from RNAcentral.
AGCAGUCGCCGCGGUAAUACAGAGGGUGCGAGCGUUAAUCGGAUUUACUGGGCGUAAAGCGUGCGUAGGCGGCUUGUUAAGUCGGAUGUGAAAUCCCUGAGCUUAACUUAGGAAUUGCAUUCGAUACUGGGAAGCUAGAGUAUGGGAGAGGAUGGUAGAAUUCCAGGUGUAGCGGUGAAAUGCGUAGAGAUCUGGAGGAAUACCGAUGGCGAAGGCAGCCAUCUGGCCUAAUACUGACGCUGAGGUACGAAAGCAUGGGGAGCAAACAGGAUUAGAUACCCGCGUAGUCCCUGUCUCUUAUAC